This 248-nucleotide long non-coding RNA is filed under the name Mytilus galloprovincialis (Mediterranean mussel). The record is from RNAcentral. Lineage: Eukaryota; Metazoa; Mollusca; Bivalvia; Mytilida; Mytilidae.
AGUCGACUUUGGUAUAUUUUAGAACUCUUCGAGAGAAGCUCUACUGUGAUAGUCGACUUUGGUAUGUUUUUAACCCCUUAUUGAUAGGAUAAGAGAGCUCUUCAAGUGAAGCUAUACUGUGAUAGUCGACUUUGGUAUAUUUUUAACCCCUUAUUGAUAGGAUUUCAAACUCCUGUGAUUUAAAUUCGGGACCUCGUGAUUUCGUGUUUUUAAACCCGGGAUUUCGGGAUCAGGACCCUCCUACCCCC